UACGUAGGGUGCUAGCGUUGUUCGGAAUCAUUGGGCGUAAAGCGCGUGUAGGCUGUUAAUUAAGUCGGGUGUGAAAUCCCUGGGCUCAACCGAGGAAGUGCGCCCGAAACUGCAUGGCUUGAGUACCGGAGAGGAUGGCGGAAUUCCCCAAGUAGAGGUGAAAUUCGUAGAUAUGGGGAGGAACACCGGUGGCGAAGGCGGCCAUCUGGACGGAUACUGACGCUGAGACGCGAAAGCGUGGGGAGCAAACAGG
This 253-nucleotide ribosomal RNA is filed under the name uncultured bacterium. Its description in RNAcentral is "partial 16S ribosomal RNA". It matches the Rfam family "Bacterial small subunit ribosomal RNA", at positions 524 to 776 of the family's 1533-position model. The record is from RNAcentral.